AUUGAACGCUGGCGGCAGGCCUAACACAUGCAAGUCGAACGGUAACAGGGAUCAGCUUGCUGAUUCGCUGACGAGUGGCGGACGGGUGAGUAAUGUCUGGGAAACUGCCUGAUGGAGGGGGAUAACUACUGGAAACGGUAGCUAAUACCGCAUAACGUCGCAAGACCAAAGAGGGGGACCUUCGGGCCUCUUGCCAUCUGCUGUGCCCAGAUGGGAUUAGCUAGUAGGUGGGGUAACGGCUCACCUAGUCGACGAUCCGUAGCUGGUCUGAGAGGAUGACCAGCCACACUGGAACUGAGACACGGUCCAGACUCCUACGGGAGGCAGCAGUGGGGAAUAUUGCACAAUGGGCGCAAGCCUGAUGCAGCCAUGCCGCGUGUAUGAAGAAGGCCUUCGGGUUGUAAAGUACUGUCAGCGGGGAGGAAGGGAGUAAAGUUAAUACCUUUGCUCAUUGACGUUACCCGAAGAAGAAGCACCGGCUAACUCCGUG
Molecule: ribosomal RNA, 490 nt
Filed under: uncultured bacterium
Lineage: Bacteria
Description: partial 16S ribosomal RNA
Rfam family: Bacterial small subunit ribosomal RNA
Source: RNAcentral